AUGGAGGGAAAACAACAAUGGGACAUGGUGGACCCUGGAUUCAAGCUUUGCGCUCCAAUUCUUAAGAGAGCAGCAGGUAGACCAAGGAAGAGUCGAAUCAGACCUCGCAGCGAAGGAGCUGGACUUGGAGCGAGGAAGCGUAAGUGCACAAGGUGUGGUGGGUCUGGUCAUUUUGGUAAGUAUUGUGAUAACACAGUAGAUCCAGCGUUCGGAGAGAGUUUCGAUGAAUGCUUCGAUGAAAAUGUUGGUCAGCAGCCGGUUGCCUCAACAGAUGAUGAAAAUGAUGGUCAACAGCCGGUUGCAUCAGAUGAGGAUUUUGACGAGGUUCCAAAUGAUGAUGGUCAA
This 345-nucleotide ribosomal RNA is filed under the name Triticum aestivum (bread wheat). RNAcentral describes it as "partial small subunit ribosomal RNA". The record is from RNAcentral. Lineage: Eukaryota; Viridiplantae; Streptophyta; Magnoliopsida; Poales; Poaceae.